AGAACUUUAGGAUGCCCUCUCACCCUGGUUGAACGAUAAAGUGUUUAGAAAUAAUACCUUUGUGGCCAGGCACGGUGGCUCAUGCCUGUAAUCCCAGCACUUUGGGAGGCAGAGGUGGGAGGAUCACCUUAAGUUGAAAGUUCAAGACCAGCCUGACCAACAUGGAGAAACCCCAUCUCUGCUGAAAAUACAAAAUUAAUCAGCUGGGAGUGGUGAUGUGUCCCUGUAAUCCCAGCUACUCGGGAGGCUGUGGCAGGAGAAUCACUUGAACCCAGGUGGUGGAGGUUGCAGUGAGCCAAGAUUGUGCCAUUGCAUUCCAGCCUGGAAACAAGAGUGAAAUUUGGUCUCAGGAAAAAAAAAAAAAAAAAAAAAAGAAAGAAAGGAAGAUAGAUAGAAUACCUUUGUGAUGACCAUGUACCAGACAGUAAUCUUAUAAGGACUCUGAUGACCAGUUAGGUGCCUCGCCCCUGGUUGUAAUGCAGAAUUGUGAUUCCCGCUUAGAGGUUUUCAGCAGGCCAUGUCCUCCCUUUCUCUGUGAUCAAAGUUAGCAUCACAGUUGAGUGACCUACCCAGGGCCCUGAACUCACAAGGGUCCCACAUCUGGUUUAACAUUCUGCUGUUGCCCUCUUAGAAUCCCUAAUAAAAAUGAAUAAUUUAUGAAUCCUUAAUGAGUGCUUAAUACUUUGAACUCGUGUCUUGUAGGGGUACUCCAGCGUGAAAAUGGAGCAUGCACGUGAGCUGAGUAGUGGCAUGCAGCAUGCACGCCCAUCGAUCCUUGCUGCUCAUUCCCAUACGGUGUCCGCCAUGCCCCUUGGACACUGAAUUCCAGUGGACCCAGCAUGUGUGGGAAUUCAGGGGAGACUCGAUGUAUAUACAAGUAGAGACGGGGUUUCACCAUGUUGACCAGGAUGUUCUCGAUCUCUUGACCUCGUGAUCCACCCGCCUCGGCCUCCCAAAGUGCUGGAAUUACAGGCUUGAGCCAGUGCGCCCGGCCUACUUACGUCUUUUUCUUAAAGAAUAUUUUCUCCUGAAUAUAUUGACUCAAGAAAUGCAUAGUUAGUGCCUCCUGUGUACCCUUUAUUGUGCAAGACAUUGAAGAUACGACAAUAAACCAAACCUGGUCUCUGCUUUAAAAGAGCUUUCGUUCCAACGAAGCAGCCAUCUUUCUGGCUAAUACCAACACACCAUGGUGAGUGCUUUUUUGUUGCAUGUGUUUCACUUCUAAAUAUUUCCUCAAGAGAAGAGAAAACGUAUAUCCACUAAAGGCCUUGCAUAGGAAUAUUCAUAAAAGCUUUGUUAAUGGCUUGAACUGAAAUUGACCCAAAUGUCUAAAAAGAAGAAAAUGGAUUAACAGAUUGUGAUAUAUCCAUACACACUAAAAGCAAUAAAAAUGAUGAAACAUGGAAGCAAAGAUAUGAAUGAGUCUUUAAAACAUCAUGCCUAUUCCAAGGUAAAGAAGCCAGACAGUGUUCACCCUACACAACUUAUAUGAAGUUCUAUAAUGACAUUAAUCUACGGUGAAAGGAAUCAGAACAGAAGUUGCCGGGAGUUGAAGGUGAAACGGGGAUUUACUAGAAAGGGGCUUGGGAGCUUUCUGGAGUGAUGAAAGUGUUUUAUAUCUUGAUGAGGAGAAAGGGACAGGGUAUAGGAUACGCAUGUAUAUUCAUUUAUCAAAAACCAUCAGACUGAGCACACGAGAUCUGUGUAUUUCACUGUAUGCAAAUCCUACCUUAAUUAAAAAAUUCCCAAGUAUUUUGUGUUUUUAUACUAUUGUAAAUUAUAUUUUUGAACAUUUUAUUUUAUCUUUACUACUAAUAUAAAGCAUUGAAGCUGAUUUUUGUAUAUGAACCUUGCAUCUUCAGACACUGAUAAAUUCACUAAUUAUUUCUAGUAAUCAGUUUUUAAAAAUAUUACUUUCUUUGGACUCUACAUGGUAGACCUUCUCCUUCAGUCUUUCAUUUCUCUUAGCUAGUCCCUUAUGUUUCCCAUCUUUUGUCUCUCUGUGCUAUACUUUGUUGUUGUUGUUUUUUUCCUUUAUUUAGCACUAAGACACUGCUAUCUUAGGACUUUGUUUAGGAAGAGGAAUGGGUACUUUUUAAUUUCUGAAGGUUUUACCUUUGGGAUUCUAGUUUAAUGUACAUGGGGGUCUAAUAUUAACAUUCUAAUUUGAGUGGGCUCUGGGCUUUUGACUUCUGCCCCUCUUACUUUGUGAGGUCUUCAAAAUUGGAUCGCAGUUCUCCAUAUGUUCUUAGGACAAAAGGCUUUGGUUGCUGAUAUGGUUUGGCUCUGUCCCCACCCAGAUCUCAUCUUGAAUUCCCACAUGUUAUGGGAGGGACCCAGAGGGAAGUAACCGAAUCACGGGAUCAGGUCUUUCCUAUGCUGUUCGCGUGAUAGUGAAUAAGUCUCACAAGAGGUGAUGAUUAUAUAAGGAGUUUUUCUGCAUAAGCUCUCUUCUUUUGUCUGCUGCCACAUGAGACACACUGUUCACCUUACACUAUGAUUGUGAGGCGUCCCCAGCCACAUGGAACUCUAAGUCCAUUAGACCCUUUAUUCUCCCCAGUCUCAAGGAUGUCUUUACCAGCAGCGUGAAAACAAACUAAUACAAUCUUGGACUCUUUUACAAUCUUGGUCUGGUAAUUCCUUAUUAUCUUGUCAGUUUCUUGAUGCUUUAAAGGAUACUAGAAAAUAUUCGUGGCCGGGCAGUGGCUCAUGCUUGUAAUCUCAGCACUUUGGGAGGUGGAGGUGAGUGAUCAUCUGAGGUCAGGAGUUCAAGACCAGCCUGGCAAACAUGCUGAAAUGCCAUCUCUACUAAAAAUACAGAAGAUUAGCCAGAUGGUGGCAGAUACCUGUAAUCCCAGCUGCUCAGGAGACUGAGGCAAGAGAAUCACUUGAACCCUGGAGGCAGAGGUUGCAGUGAGCUGAAAUCAGGCCACUGUGCUCCAGUCUGAGCAACAAGGUGAGACUUCGUCUCAAAAAAAAAGUAACGUAUUCAUUAGUUUUAGUGGAUUUUAGCAGAAAGGUUAACCAAAGUGACCUAGCUCUUUAUUAUUAGAAAUGGAGGAAAACAAAAUUUGGAAUUUUUUUAAUAAUCUCUUUUUCAUCAUUUCUAAGUAUAACAGUAAUCCCCUAAGAUGAUAAGUUUCACUACGUAAGUUUUUAAAAAAUCCGCAUGGCAAGAAAGAAAAUAAAGAUAAAAGAAAGAAAAGAAAUCACGGCAAGGACUAAUAGACAUUCAACAAGCAAGAAAAAGUUUUAAAAAUUCUAGUCAAGAAACUCAAGCUCAAGAGAAGGAAACCAAUUUUCUUUCUUUUGAAAAAAUUUACCAUUAUAUAUAUAUAUAUAUUUUUUUUUUUUUUUGAGACGGAGUUUCGCUCUUGCUACCCAGGCUGGAGUGAUCUCGGCUCACCGCAACCUCCGCCUCCUGGGUUCAGGCAAUUCUCCUGCGUCAGCCUCCCGAGUGGCUGGGAUUACAGGCACGUGCCACCAUGCCCAGCUAAUUUUUUGUAUUUUUUUUAGUAGAGAUGGGGUUUCACCAUGUUGACCAGGAUGGUCUCUAUCUCUUGACCUCGUGAUCCACCUGCCUCGGCCUCCCAAAGUGCUGGGAUUACAGGCUUGAGCCACCGCGCCCGGCCAUAUAUAUAUAUUUAUUUAAUUUUUAGAGAUGAAGUCUCACUAUGUUGCCCAGGCUGGACUCAACCUCCUAGGCUCAAGUGAUCCUCUUGCCUCAGCCUUCCAAGUAGAUAGUACUACAGGCAUACAUCACUGCACUUGACCUGGUUUUCUUAAUAUACCAAAAGCUCUAUAUUAUUAUCAAACUCUAUUAUUUUCAACUCUAUAUUAUUAUCAAUCUACACUAUCUUAUCAAAUGUAAAAUAUUGCCUCAUAACAGCAUCUUAAGGCAGCAGACAUUUAUAAUCUCGAAGUUCCUGUGGGUCAGGAAUCUGGGAACAGAUUAACUGGGUGGUUCCAGCUCAGGGUCUUUCAGGAUGUUGCAGUGGAGACGUCAGUCAGGGCUGUGGUCCUUCUAAGGCUUGCUCAAGGCUGAAGGACCCCGGCUAAGGUCAUUCGUGAGACUCUCAGAAGAGCCGCUGCUUCUCACCACGUGGUCUUCUUUAUCUAGGGCUGCUCAAGACCUGGCUACCGGUGUACCCCAGAGCAAGUGAUCUUCAGAAAGCCACCAAGACAGGCUGAAUGUCUUUUAUGAGCUAAUCUUGGGAAUGACUUACCAUCUCUUCUGCCAUAUUUUAUUGGUCACACAGAGAAACCAUGGUGCAAUGUGGGAGGGGGACUAUAGCAGGGUGUGAAUACCAGGAGGUGGAGUCACCUGGGGCCAUCUUAGAAGCUGCCUGCUGCAAGCUCCUACAGUUCAAUAAGACAAAAAACAAAGCUCAAGCAGAAAAAUGAGCAAGAGCUAUAGGGAGACUCAUAUAAAUAAAUACAUGUUUAGUAAAGAUAAAGAUAAACGUGUAUCUUUAUGUUAAACUACAUCUUAAACAUAAGAUGCUUUACUUCACUCUAAUUAAGAAUAAUGUAAUUUAAAACUGCAUUGGGACACCAUUUCUACCCAUAAGAUUGGUAAAGAUAAAACACCAAGUUCUCACUCACUGUAUAGUUGAGAAUUUUUGGAGAAAUAGAAUCUCAUAUUUUGUCAGCGAGCGUAGACUUUGGUACAACCUCUAUGAAGAAUAAUUUGGCGAUAACUCUCAAAAGUAAAAAUAUACAUAUCCUUUGAUCCAAUAAUUUCACUUCUAGGAAUUUUUUCUAAGUAUACUCUGGCACAUGUGCAAAAACGAUGUCUGUAUGAAGACAUUUAUUGCAGCAUUGACUUGUAACAGCAAAAGAUUGGAAACCAUCUGAAUUUCUAUCAACAGAUAACUGAUUAAAUAAAUUGUGGUAAUAUGCAUAUAAUAGAAUUCUAUGCAUCUCUUGAAAAGAAUGAAGCAGGCCUCUUUACACUGAUUUAGAAUUUUCUCCAACAAGUACUGAGAGAUGUAAAAGCACUGAACUGCAUGCCAUCAUUUGUGAAAAAUACGUAUAUGCUUGUACGUGAACAGAAUAUCUCUACAAGUAUAUCCAAGGGGUUGAGACUUGUAGCUUUUUUUUGUA
Molecule: long non-coding RNA, 5106 nt
Organism: Callithrix jacchus (white-tufted-ear marmoset)
Lineage: Eukaryota; Metazoa; Chordata; Mammalia; Primates; Cebidae
Source: Ensembl